RNAcentral lists this ribosomal RNA (414 nucleotides) under uncultured microorganism. RNAcentral describes it as "bacterial SSU rRNA". It matches the Rfam family "Archaeal small subunit ribosomal RNA", at positions 459 to 872 of the family's 1478-position model. The record is from RNAcentral.
CAGCAGCCGCGGUAAUACCGGCGGCCCGAGUGGCGGUCACUAUUAUUGGGCUUAAAGCGUCCGUAGCCGGGUUGGGAAGUCCUCCGGGAAAUCUGGCCGCUUAACGGUCAGAAUGCCGGAGGAUACUCCCAGCCUAGGGAGCGGGAGAGGCCGAGGGGAUUCCCGGAGUAGGGGGGAAAUCCUAUAAUCCCGGGAGGACCACCUGUGGCGAAGGCGCUCGGCUGGAACGCGUCCGACGGUGAGGGACGAAGGCCAGGGGAGCAAACCGGAUUAGAUACCCGGGUAGUCCUGGCUGUAAACGAUGCGGACUUUGUGUCGGACAAGCUAUGAGCUUGUCCGGUGCCGGAGGGAAACCGUUAAGUCCGCCGCCUGGGGAGUACGGCCGCAAGGCUGAAACUUAAAGGAAUUGGCGGG